Molecule: ribosomal RNA, 1337 nt
Filed under: Planctomycetaceae bacterium
Lineage: Bacteria; Pseudomonadati; Planctomycetota; Planctomycetia; Planctomycetales; Planctomycetaceae
Description: bacterial LSU rRNA
Rfam family: Bacterial large subunit ribosomal RNA
Source: RNAcentral
GAUUAUCUGCCCAUUUGUCGAGUAAUCGACAUUUAGUCCUUGGUUGUAUGCUGGAAAGUCUGAGUAUCCGACGGUACUCGUGGUUCAACUGAAUCGCAGUGAAAAUCCGUUCGGUGCAGAUGAUCAGCAGGAAACCAAAGUAGGCCCUCGGCCUAUGAGUAGGAUCCUCAGAGACUGUACGCCAGGCAUCCAAUCUCGAUUGGAUGAAGAGACAGUCCGAGCUGCAUGGCGACAUGCAGAGGUUGGCAGAAAUGUCCAACCCGCCACGCUGUGUGCACUUUCCCUUCUGGGAAGUGUUUCCAUUCCUUUGGAAACGAGAUGAACGCGUUUCUGCGUGAAGGUAGCAGCCUCUGGUAGUAACAAACUGAGCGAAGUUCCUUGUCGGGUAAGUUCCGACCUGCAUGAAAGGCGUAACGACAGGAGCACUGUCUCAACCACCGACCCGGUGAAAUUGUAGUCGUGGUGAAGAUGCCACGUACCCGCAGUUAGACGGAAAGACCCCGUGAACCUUUACUGUAGGCUGAUAUUGGGCUGAGGUAUGUUUUGUGUAGGAUAGGUGGGAGGCUGUGAUCCGGAAGCGCCAGCUUUCGUGGAGCCGUCCUUGAAAUACCACCCUGGAUAUGCUUUAGUUCUAACGCUGAUCCCGUGAAUCCGGGCAGCGAACAGUGUCAGUUGGGCAGUUUGACUGGGGCGGUCUCCUCCCAAAGAGUAACGGAGGAGUGCAAAGGUACCCUCAGCCUGGUUGGCAAUCAGGCGUAGAGCGCAAAGGUAGAAGGGUGCUUAACUGUGAGACUUAUCAGUCGAACAGGUGCGAAAGCAGGUCUUAGUGAUCCGGUGAUCCCGUAUGGAAGGGUCAUCGCUCAUCAGAUAAAAGGUACUCCGGGGAUAACAGGCUUAUCGCUUCCGAGCGUCCAUAGCGGCGAAGCGGUUUGGCACCUCGAUGUCGGCUCAUCACAUCCUGGGGGUGAAGAAGCUCCCAAGGGUUUGGCUGUUCGCCAAUGAAAGUGGUACGUGAGCUGGGUUCAGACCGUCGUGAGACAGGUCGGUCCCUAUCUGCUGUGGGCGUUCGAAACUUGAGGAGGUUCUUCUUUAGUACGAGAGGAUUUGGAAGGACGAACCUCUGGUGUACCAGUUGUCACGCUAGUGGCACGGCUGGAUAGCUAAGUUCGGAAAGGAUAAACGCUGAAAGCAUCUAAGCGUGAAGCCCUCUCCAAGAUUAGGUUUCGUAUGUGCGUUAGCACGAGAGUCCCCUGGAAGACUACCAGGUUGAUAGGCCGGAUGUGUAAGCACGGUAACGUGUUCAGCUUACCGGUACUAACGGACGAAUGCUUGACCAC